UGGUGACAAUCGAGAAGGAGAUAUACCUGAUCCCAUCCCGAACUCAGAAGUCAAGCCCUUCAUCGCCGAUGGUACUGCGCACAAGAGUGUGGAAGAGUAGGACGUUGCCAGGCU
Molecule: ribosomal RNA, 114 nt
Filed under: Chlamydiota bacterium
Lineage: Bacteria; Pseudomonadati; Chlamydiota
Source: RNAcentral